Molecule: ribosomal RNA, 253 nt
Filed under: uncultured bacterium
Lineage: Bacteria
Description: partial 16S ribosomal RNA
Rfam family: Bacterial small subunit ribosomal RNA
Source: RNAcentral
UACAGAGGUCUCAAGCGUUGCUCGGAAUCACUGGGCGUAAAGGGCGUGUAGGCGGGAAGGAAAGUCAGAUGUGAAAUCCCCAGGCUCAACCUGGGAACUGCAUUUGAAACUCCCUUUCUUGAGUACCGGAGAGGAAAGUGGAAUUCCUGGUGUAGAGGUGAAAUUCGUAGAUAUCAGGAGGAACACCAGUGGCGAAGGCGGCUUUCUGGACGGUAACUGACGCUGAGACGCGAAAGCGUGGGGAGCAAACAGG